UAGGGAAUCUUCCACAAUGGACGCAAGUCUGAUGGAGCAACGCCGCGUGAGUGAAGAAGGGUUUCGGCUCGUAAAACUCUGUUGUUAAAGAAGAACAUAUCUGAGAGUAACUGUUCAGGUAUUGACGGUAUUUAACCGGAAAGCCACGGCUAACUACGUGCAAG
Molecule: ribosomal RNA, 164 nt
Filed under: uncultured bacterium
Lineage: Bacteria
Description: partial 16S ribosomal RNA
Rfam family: Bacterial small subunit ribosomal RNA
Source: RNAcentral